AACGAACGCUGGCGGCAUGCCUAACACAUGCAAGUCGAACGGGAUCCUAGCUUGCUAGGUGAGAGUGGCGGACGGGUGAGUAACACGUGGGAAUCUGCCUUUUGGUUCGGGAUAACCGCGGGAAACUGCGGCUAAUACCGAAUGCCCUCGAGAGAGGAAAGAUUUAUCGCCAGAAGAGGAGCCCGCGUCCGAUUAGGUAGUUGGUGGGGUAAAGCCUACCAAGCCGACGAUCGGUAGCUGGUCUGAGAGGAUGAUCAGCCACACUGGGACUGAGAUACGGCCCAGACUCCUACGGGAGGCAGCAGUGGGGAAUAUUGGACAAUGGGGGCAACCCUGAUCCAGCAAUGCCGCGUGAGUGAUGAAGGCCUUAGGGUUGUAAAGCUCUUUGCCAGGGAGAUGAUGACUGUACCUGGAGAAUAAGCCCCGGCUAACUUCGUGCCAGCAGCCAC
Molecule: ribosomal RNA, 449 nt
Filed under: uncultured bacterium
Lineage: Bacteria
Description: bacterial SSU rRNA
Rfam family: Bacterial small subunit ribosomal RNA
Source: RNAcentral